UACGUAGGGUGCAAGCGUUGUCCGGAAUUAUUGGGCGUAAAGAGCUCGUAGGCGGUCUGUCACGUCGGCUGUGAAAUCCCGAGGCUCAACCUCGGGUCUGCAGUCGAUACGGGCAAACUAGAGUAUUGCAGGGGAGACUGGAAUUCCUAGUGUAGCGGUGAAAUGCGCAGAUAUCAGGAGGAACACCGGUGGCGAAGGCGGGUCUCUGGGCAAUAACUGACGCUGAGGAGCGAAAGCGUGGGGAGCGAACAGG
Molecule: ribosomal RNA, 253 nt
Filed under: uncultured bacterium
Lineage: Bacteria
Description: partial 16S ribosomal RNA
Rfam family: Bacterial small subunit ribosomal RNA
Source: RNAcentral